CAGUCGCCGCGGGAAUACGAAGGGGGCUAGCGUUGCUCGGAAUUACUGGGCGUAAAGGGAGCGUAGGCGGACAUUUAAGUCAGGGGUGAAAUCCCAGAGCUCAACUCUGGAACUGCCUUUGAUACUGGGUGUCUUGAGUGUGAUAGAGGUAUGUGGAACUCCGAGUGUAGAGGUGAAAUUCGUAGAUAUUCGGAAGAACACCAGUGGCGAAGGCGACAUACUGGAUCAUUACUGACGCUGAGGCUCGAAAGCGUGGGGAGCAAACAGGAUUAGAUACCCCCGUAGUCCCUGUCUCUUAUAU
This 301-nucleotide ribosomal RNA is filed under the name uncultured bacterium. RNAcentral describes it as "partial 16S ribosomal RNA". It matches the Rfam family "Bacterial small subunit ribosomal RNA", at positions 509 to 809 of the family's 1533-position model. The record is from RNAcentral.